CUCACUCACUCCGAGCGCGUCGAUUUCUGACGAACGGUCAGUGACUUUUGCUUCAGUUUCUGACGCAAAAGGGUACCCUUGCGCUGCUUUUUUAGACGCAUGGGGUUUUCAACUAUUACAAUGUAACCCUUUGACGGGGGACCCGAUGGCUGCUGAAAACCCCAUGCGUCUAAAAAAGCAGCGCAAGGGUACCCUUUUGCGUCAGAAACUGAAGCAAAAGUCACUGACCGUUCGUCAGAAAUCGACGCGCUAUCAUUCGCGUCGAGAGCAGCGAUGGGCUGUAGUUCAAAAAGCGGCCUAAAAAAACCCUGACAUUAUCAAACUUCCUCACAUUUUUUUUGGUUUUCUUUGCAUGCACAUUUUUAAUUAAAAUCCACAAACAACAUAUGUGUAAUCCACGGCAUAUAAAGACGAAAAAAAUAAUUACUUUCUCUCCAUUGAAACCCAUUCAUAUUUUUCGAUCUCAGAGGUCCCAUGCGGGGUAUACCGGAAGGGGCGGACUUACGAGCUCAAUAACAAGCAGGAAGAAGCAGGAAAAAUCCGCCGGUUAUAUAUAUAUAUUUUUUAAAUGUGGAAUGAUAUUAUUGUUUUUAAUGGAAUAUGAAUUUGAACUUAUUAGAAGUUAGCGAUGAUUAUACUCGUGUCUCAAACAUGAUCACGAAACAUCAACAGUUCUGCUCGCUGUAAGCGAGUAAGUGAUAGGAUUGGAUUGACCUAUCACCGAUGGGAUGUUAAUCGCAGUGCACCUUGGGAAUCGUAGAUGAGCUUCAAAUCGGGACUCAGGAUCCACCAGACCCAGGUAAGUUGUACAAAAUAUUUAAAUAUGAUUAACUAAGAAUAUAGGCUUAACUAAAUUGAAAUCUCUCCAACGAGCAGUAGGCCUAUGUCUAUGAGAGAGAGAGAGAGUGAAAGACACUUCAAUAUAACUUAUUUUUUAAUAUAUAGGCUAUACAUAUUUUUUGCAUCGCGUGUACAUUUGAAAACUUCUUGCUAGGUUAGGUGGCUCACUAUCGUUCGUAAGAUGUAGCCUUACCACCAAGCACCGAAACUCGGUUCCAGUAGGGCACCGGUUCCGAUUAAACGGUAGUACCUAGAUCGAAUAAGAACGCACAUUUCGGUGCCUCAUAACGGUGCCUGAAUUUUUUUUAACGCCCCCGUGUAUAACGUGUAUUACGAAGCGUAAUACACACCUUAUAUCAGUGACAAACAAUAUAUUAAGUGUGUAUUACGCUUCUAUUAUACAGUCUAUGGUAUUAAGCAAUAACUUUAAAUGCAUUUUUUUCUCCCAUCUAACAAAUAGACAUUUAAUACGAAUCUUAAUAAGUAUAUUUAAGCUUAUUUACAGAAGAUGCAUCUAUUUUUUUCAUUGUUCUGAAUGUUGUGUAUAACUCGCUUAGUGGUCUUUCUGUUGAUUUAUUGCCAUUUAGUAUUUAUUUAAUAAUGUUGCUCAUAAGUUGUUAGUACUCCCCAUAUAUUUGACAAUAAGCUGUCUUUUACAAGAAAUGCCUUAUUUCAACAAUCUGAUGUUCACCUGAAAGUAAUUAAGUGCCCAUAAUAUUGCUUAUCCACCUAAUGUUGUCUUCUUUAGUUCAAGAGAAAUGUACUAAGUUCUGGUUGUAAUUGUUAAUUUUACCAUGCACAACCCAAAUUGUCUUUUGUGUUUGAAUGUACUGUAUAACCAGUAUAAUUUCCCACAUAGUUAUGUGUUGACAAUGAAUUAAUAUCAUAUCUUUUUUCACUCCAAAUGCAAUAUCACUAAUAUGCAUGAAUUAAUUCACAUAUUAUAUGUGUGAAUUUGAUAAUGUUAUCAACUGAAAUCAAAUAUAUCUAAGAUUAACCCUCUAUGUUUCACUAUCAUUUGCAGAAUGACAAAGCCUAAGAAGAAGCGAUGCCCCUCAUGCCAGGCCGAAAAUUCUGUUGGAAGGAAGACAUGUUGCCAGUGUCUCCUCCCCCUUCCCCGGAAGAACAAGCUCCCAGAUAAUUUGCAGAUGGACAGCUGGGCAUCCUCUGCAAAGUCAUACAGAAACGGUGCCAGGGCUAUAAAUUCAGCCCAGCUAUCUGUCUUAAAACUAAAUGCCCUUGGUCGGAAACCCCUACUAUUUCUUGGAAAUCCUGGCCGCAAAGGAAAAUCUGUGGGGGACUUGAUUCACUUUAUCCCCACAGAUAACGUGUUGGUGAAGGAUAUCAUUUCCAAAAUGAGCAAAUGCUAUGAGCUCCUCCUGACAAUGUUGCAGGGCUGUGCUCCACAAGCAGCUGUGCCCCCCCUGGAAAACAGCGGUCCACCAGCCCCUCCUGUGUGCUCUCAGCCUCCUCCAGAACCCUUCUCAUCCCCUCAAACUCCUCCAUCCUUCUCCAACUCCCAACCACCUCCAUCCUUCUCAUCCCCUCAAACUCCUCCAUCCUUCUCCAACUCUGAACCUCCUCCAUCUUUCCACAACUUAGAACCUCCUCCAUCCUUCUCCAACUCCCAACCUCCUUCCUUCUCAUCCCCUCAAACUCCUCCAUCCUUCUCCAACUCCCAACCUCCUUCCUUCUCAUCCCCUCAAACUCCUCCAUCCUUCUCCAACUCCCAACCUCCUUCCUUCUCCAACUCCCAACCUCCUCCAUCCUUCUCAGACCCUCAAACUCCUCCAUCCUUCUCUAACUCUGAACCUCCUCCAUCUUUCCACAACUUAGAACCUCCUCCAUCCUUCUCCAACUCCCAACCUCCUUCCUUCUCUAACUCUCAACCUUCUCCAUCCUUCUCCAACUCCCAACCUCCUUCCUUCUCUAACUCUCAACCUUCUCCAUCCUUCUCCCCUCAACCUCAUCCAUCCCUCUCCAACUUUGAACCUCCUCGAUCUCCAGCCUCCUCUUCCAAGAAGAGGCCCAAAAUAAAAGAAUGCAGAAAACACAAAAAUCAAAAGGUUUUCCUGUUUCAACGCAUUGUUGAUAAACGUGUUUUAAACGAAAUGCCUUUCUCUCACAACUACUUCUGUCAUAUUUUCUGAUGUCAUGCCUUUCAGGGAAAAGAAGAGGUGAAAGUCUCUUGGACACCAUGCCCCAAGUGUGGGAAGAAGUGGGACGAUUCAUGGGAGCCAGACAGCCAACAGUUUAGCUAAAUCUAUUUUAUUUAUUUAUGUAUAUUAUUUUAUUUGUUUGAUAUUCCUGUUUCUUUGGAAGUGUUUAUUACACACAAACACACACAUACAUACACAGACAUCUUUCAAAAGUGAUGCAUUUAUUAAAUAAAUUGUUGUUACUGCCUCGUGCGUUUGUCCAUUUUAUUGCAUUUAUAAUUAUAUAUAUAUUUUGAAAUACAAUGAUUGAAAAGUUUUUGCUAAGCUCUGACUGUUAAUUGUGUAACAAUAUGACAAAAGGUGAAUUAUUAUUUUAAAUCGUUUUGGUGUUUGUGUACAUAGAUUUGAGUGUCUGGAGUGCUCACAAACCCAGAAAUGUGAAACGAUUUACUGCCUCAGUGAGAAAUCAUGAGAUGCUCCUAGCUUCCUAUGACACACGGCAACACAAGUCUCACUCCCUACUCGUCAGAAGUGUGACGCAUGGCCAAGGAUCCCUGGCGUCAAGUUCCAACGAAAGAUGUGUACCUUUUGCGUUGUUUUUCAAUGUGGGGGUCCAAUUCGGUAUCACGCCAAAGCGUGAGUGGAGGAAUAGCACAAACGGGGCGAGUGGUUCUCCCAGCAUUUGGUGAAAUGGUUAGGUAGCCUAUAUUAGUAUUUAAUAUAAUAAAUAUUAAUACUUAUUAUCUGAAUGGGAAAUGCAAUAUUUUAGGACAGAUUCACCAUUCAACGUGUUUCUAAUAACAUUUCUAGCGAGAAAUGUACUUUAUACCUGCAUAAUCUUCAGUCACUGAAUGUGUCAGAUCUUUAGUUUGAUAGUCAUUAGGACGAUUUUAUGGUCUCGCUAGCAUGUUUAAACGACGUCAGGUUGCUAGGGACGCGACGAUCUAAUUGUGGGCCAGCCGAGGCUGACACAUAAACCAAAUUUGACCUAUAACCAAAUGUAUGAUAAUGCUGUAUGUAUAGCCUAAUUUUUUAUGUUAUAAAUAUUUUAAUAUUGUCUAGAAGCCCUUGGAUAAUCCACCUGAAUUUGGUUAUUCUUUGGUUAUUAUUUUCAAUGGUCAUAUACAGAUCUUGUUCUAAAGAUAAUUGAAUAAGAGCUAUGGUCUUCUUAUAAU
This is an RNA transcript of Gadus chalcogrammus (walleye pollock), 4174 nucleotides long. RefSeq lists it as uncharacterized. NCBI's taxonomy places the organism in Eukaryota, Metazoa, Chordata, Actinopteri, Gadiformes, Gadidae. The transcript has 6 exons. The record is from RefSeq and is a predicted model, not a curated record.